UUCAAGAACGCAACUAAAAAUUUGUUACCUCAUUGAAAGAUAAUUAGCACACAUGUUACAAUUUUUUUUAAUAUUAGUCCAUCACCACUAUUCCACUAUUGUGAACGUUAUAAUGGACUCUCCACUUUUGCUAUUUGGUAUAAAACCAACCAAAUAUCUAAUUUAUCAAACAAGUCAACCAACACAUUUUACAAGAUCAAAAGCAAAC
Molecule: long non-coding RNA, 208 nt
Filed under: Vitis vinifera (wine grape)
Lineage: Eukaryota; Viridiplantae; Streptophyta; Magnoliopsida; Vitales; Vitaceae
Description: long non-coding RNA (VVIN_LNC003473)
Source: RNAcentral